Molecule: long non-coding RNA, 797 nt
Filed under: Coturnix japonica (Japanese quail)
Lineage: Eukaryota; Metazoa; Chordata; Aves; Galliformes; Phasianidae
Description: lncRNA (ENSCJPG00005016483.1)
Source: RNAcentral
AAAACCCGCUAAAACCCGUGGAGAAACACCCCCCCCCCCCCCCCACACACAACACACACACACCCCGCCGUCACCCCGCCGUGCCCCCUCCCCUCCCCGCGCUGUCCCGCUCGGUGCGGGGCUCUGCUCUGCGCACUGGCGGUGCCGCUGACGGGCGGCCGCGGCGCGGUGCCCUUAUUGGUUUGAAAUUCCAUUAAAUAUAUUGCAAGAGCGCCUAGGUUAAGCUUGAUUUAAAUUUGCAUACAUUUUCAUAUAUUUAGCAGAAAUAAAAGAAGGCUUGCAGCUACCAGAAAGUCAUUAAGGCAUUAGUUUCCCUGAGAAGACAGAUCUGAAGAAAAUGCAAGAAAAUGAGAAAAUUGAUAGAAAGCAGGUGGAGCUGAAUACAAUGCCUGCAUUUGUGGCUAACUCCAAGCAAUACAUUAUGAAGAUGAUGUUAUUCAGACACACACCCAAACAAUUUGAUUCAGACAAAUUGGAUACGAGACUUUGACCAGCAUGAGAAGAACAGUGUUUACGGUGAAAUGAUGGGGUCGACACUUCCUAGCAGCGUGGCCAACAGAUGUAGCGUGGAGAUGACAACUGUACAUUUUAGUGGUCUUUUGUUACCUCAGCACUGACUGAUGGCUGAGAGGCUGGAAGCCAGAAUGUCAAAGGCCAUCAGAUGUCCUAGCAGCCUCUAGAUCCCGUUUCUGUUAGGGGCUGAAAUGACAAAAAUAUGCCUUUUUGUGUAGUUGCAUGUAAAAGUGCCGUUAGCUUUUUGCAAUAAAUAGUCCCUAAGGAGAAGCCCCCUGUGUGCC